This is a long non-coding RNA of Phyllostomus discolor (pale spear-nosed bat), 906 nucleotides long. RefSeq lists it as uncharacterized. The transcript is spliced from 2 exons. Lineage: Eukaryota; Metazoa; Chordata; Mammalia; Chiroptera; Phyllostomidae. The record is from RefSeq and is a predicted model, not a curated record.
UUAACUCAAGGGAAGAAUUCAUUGAUUCACAAUAGUAUUACUAAGAUUGUACACAGCUAAAAAAUGUCUAGGAUCCUCCCUUUCUCCCACCCUCCACCCCUAUUCUAUAUUUUCCCAAUGGUUUUUUUUAACCUGAGUGCAGCACUUGAACUCCAUUAAAAUAUAUCAUCUUAAUUUCAGUUUCCAGUUCCAGUUAAAAGCUGUAAGAAUCUGAUUCUGUCAUAAAAUACGCUUGUACACUGACAAUCCAGAAAUUCCGGUGGUUUUUACUUUCUCUUUAGCUUCAACGACUUCACACAGAAAGCAUGCAUUACUUGUUUCACUGGCAACUUAAAUAAGCAUGGUCUUCCAUAGCUCCUUAAUGAAAACGGUGAGAGGAGGGAACCAACCACUGAACCCUUUCCUUAAAGACCUCACAGCCUUGGGUGUCCCAGCAGGUAGGUAGCUCUGCCAGUUGGAGCGCUCAUCAGACGGGCCUGUCCAGGGUCAGGGCGCAUAUAAGAAUUAACCAAUGAAUGCAUUAACUGGAACGAAACUGAUGUUUCUCUAAAAUCAACAAAUUAAAAAAAAACUUUCCCCAUAAAACCCACCAAUGAGAAGGAAAGAAAAAAUGUUGACACUGUGACUCUGGUGGUCGGCUGAAAUCGCACGAGGCAACACAGUAGUUAAAAAGAUGCCAUGUGGUUCCCAGCUUAACUGGGUACAAACUUCAUGUCUGAGCCUGUUUGCUUACCUGUAAAGUGGGGAUAAUACCACCUACCUCCUACCACAUUCGGUUGUUUCAAGGACUAAACGCAAUAAUGCAUACAAAAGGCCUAGCCAAGUGCCUAGUGAGGGCUUUAAUACAUCGUAUUACUGCAACGAUUUCGUUUGAAAUUUGAGUGUGAAGUGUCUCAAAAAAAAAAA